GUUUUGAAAAGCCGUAAUAUUUACGAUUUUCGUCAAAAUUUAAUAUUAGAAUUUCUUUAUUAAAAAAAAUACUACAUUAAACUCAAAUUUUUUUUGUCCACCAAGUACGACUUAUAAUGAACUUUCUAUCAAAUGUUCAAACAUUCCUGUUUAGUCUAACAGUUUUAUCCACAGAUUACCUACAGAAUAAAAAUUACGUACAAAACAAGUAAAAUUAAAAUGUUUAUAAUUAGCUCAAAAAUAGAUAAAAUAUUUUGAAAAUUUGACCACUCAAUAUUAGCAAAUCAAUGGUUACUGGAAACAUAUUAAUUGUACUAAAAUAAUAUUGGAAAAUAAGUAAGUUAAAAUUUAAAUUAUAUUUUGAUUACACAAUAAAUUUAUUUAUUAAAUUAAGAUUUGUUUCAGUUCAAUUUGUGCAUGGUGUAAAUAAUUAGCAUACUCAAUUAGGAAAAAAACAAGGCAGAUUAUCCAGUGAAAACAAAAUUAAGAUUUAUUUUUCACUAUCAAAGAAAACAAAAAUAAGAUUUAUUUUUCACUAUCAAAGAAAACAAAAAUUAAUAACAAGGAGGAAAGUUAGGCAACAAGUCAGAACAAAUAAAAAAUUACAAAACUAGAAACAGAUUUGAAUAUAACAUGAAACAAAAUGAAAGAAAUUUCAAAUAUUACGUUCUCCAAAUUGAUUAAAGACUUUCAAAUUCCUAAAUGCCAAUCAACAUUAUUAUAUGAAAUUUUUGAAGCAGCUAGAUAUAAAAACCCAAAAAGUUACUCAGAAAAUUGGAUGAUACUUUGUCUUUUAUUUCAUUUAUGGUAAGAAUAAAUUUGUAAUUAUCUUUUUAACCAUUAUUUUUAUAUUCAAAUUAUUUAAUAUCUCGUUUGAUUUUUUGUUUUGUGUAGUUUGUCUCCUUUGGGUUAAAAUUGUUUAAGAAAGCAAAAUGUAUUACCACUACCUUGUGUUAAAUCAAUCUGAACACAUUUAUUGACUGCCAAAUACAAAUAUGGAUUUGUUUUAGGAUUUUUUAAAUUGCUGAAAAAGAAAUUUAAAGAAAAUAAUAAAUAUCAGAAAAAAGGUAUUCUUUGUUUAUAUACAAUUUUCUUAAGGACAAACCUUAAUAUUAAAACUCUUACAUUAUCUUACAGUGGUCUAGAGAAUUUUGGAAGAGAAAUCAAAAACAAAAUUUGAAGUUCAGAAUUAGUCAUCCAUAGCCUUGUAUUUAUGCGGAACAGAUAAUGUAACACAUUCUAUAGCUAUUUUUGUCUCUAAAGGUCUAGUAAAAGGUUGGAUUAUUUUGUAUGAUGAUUUUUUUUUUUGAUUUUUUAUACAUAUUAUAAGUCUUACAUUUUAAGUCCUGAACCCUGAUUAUUAUAUACAUACAAAAUCAAAAAAAUAUUUAUAUAUUUUUUAUUUAAGUUUAAUAACAAAAAAAAAAACGCUUCUUUGAAAAUAAAUCAUUCUGGCUAUCACAUUUUCUAAUAAAUAUAAAUAUUAUACACUAAAAUUUCACAUUUGACAUCAUAGCCCCAUGCAAUGGAUUUAUUUCUCCUCCCAAACCUUGGUCAGAAUAUAUGCACAUACACUUAUUUAUUGAUUUCUUAUAUUAUAUAAAUAUUGUUUUCAAAAUAGGAAUUGAUUUAGCACAAUUAGUAGUCAAAGCCAUUAUUUUAUUAGAAGAUGCAGGAUUACAAGUAAUGAUACUGACUUGUGAUGAUGCUUCAAUUAAUAAAACAAUGAUCAAACAUUUAGGAAUUAGUAGUAAAUGUUUAGAUUUAAAAAAUAAUUUUAUAAACCCAUAUUAUGACAAAAGAAAUGUGAAAUAAAAAUAAAUAUUUUAAUUUGUAGAACAUAUUACUAUAACAUGUUUAGAUAAUGAUUAUGCACCAUUAUAACAAUAAGUGACUUAAAGAAUGCCAUUAAUGAAAAAGAUGAGUCAUUUGUCCGAGAACAAAAUAUAUUAAACUUAAAAACAUAUAUUGAUGACAUAAUUGAAGAAUGAAAGUGGGAUAUGGAUAUGUUUAAAGACUCAGAUUUUAAAGAUGAUGCAACGUUUAACUGUGUUUAUAUUAUUUGGCUAGGUAAAUACAAUAUUUUAGAGGAUAUGCACAUACAACUUACUUACUGUAAAUUUUACUUUUACAUUUUAAACUUGCAUAAGUGAAUAUAUAUUCAUUUUUUUAUUAUUUUCAAGAUAUUUGGCAACAAAACUAAUAAAAAAAACUAAAUGUGAAGUUUGUCUGUCUGGGAUAAGAAACACUGAAGGAAAAAUCUGCGAUUUCAAUGCUGCCUAAUUAGUUCAACUUAAAUCUCAAGGAUAUCUAACCCAUCCAGACAGUAGUUUUUUCAUUUUAGUAAGAUGUAUUGAAAAAUCAUUUCAAAUUCAUGCCACAAGUCUAAAUGCUUUUGAUGACACAGUUGAACAUUUCUUCGAAAACAACUAUAUCAUACCAUUUCCAUUUAAUGAGCAUAAAAGUGAUAUAGUCGAGUACGUUUUUAUGUCUUAUUUGACUAUGCAAAUGAGGCAGUACACCUAGAUGAACAAAAAACAAC
Cinara cedri is the source of this 2542-nucleotide non-coding RNA. The record is from the annotation of a GenBank genome assembly. Lineage: Eukaryota; Metazoa; Arthropoda; Insecta; Hemiptera; Aphididae.